Molecule: long non-coding RNA, 3749 nt
Organism: Pongo pygmaeus (Bornean orangutan)
Lineage: Eukaryota; Metazoa; Chordata; Mammalia; Primates; Hominidae
Exons: 4
Source: RefSeq, a predicted model, not a curated record
GGGCAAUAUAGUCCAGUAGGGUGGCUAGCAGGAAAAUUAAAGGGGUUUGGUGAAUCCAUUGCUCCUGCCAUCACCCAGAUUAAAGACCUGCCCUCUCAUCUGGUAUUUAUUAUACUCCCUUUUCUCAAUUAAGCGUCUUCAUCCAUGGAUUGUUCAUUUUAUGGGUAGAUAUGGCUCCUUAGAGUAAGGGUCAGUGGACCAUGGCCUGUGAACCAACUCCAAGCAGCUGCCUGUUUUUCUUAUGUCCAGCAGUCAGGGAUUGAGUGGGCAAGCACUGUGGGCUGCAGAUACCAAGCUCCACCCUGAUUCCCCCUCCACUCUCAGAGGCUCCAUCCAGCUGGCAGGCUCACAGCACUGCAGCCCAGCAUCUGAAGUGGUACUGUCCCUAGGCUGAUGACUGCCACAUCUUUACUGGGGCCAAAACUUUCCUCUGAGAUUCAGAUGUGUGUCACCAACUAGAGAGCAGGCUUGGAAUUUAAAAAUAAAGUUUUCAUGGAGGGGCUUCUAUAUGCCUCUUUCUGCUUGCUUUGACUUUGGCCAUGUGGAAGAGAGAUGAGGCAGCACUUCCAGGAGAUCCUUCAAUCAACCUAUGUGCAAAUCAGAAAUUGAAAUAAAUGAAGCACGUCUUGAGCAGUGUUAUGGCAAAGGAGUCUGGCUUGUAGAGUGUCUGUCUCUAGAAAUUUGGAGAGCUGGGAGCAGGAGAUGUGAUUGUGGUUCUCAACUGCAGGUGAGGCUGGGGCAGCUCUCUCAGGCCUGAAGUAUAUGCAGGGUUCUCUCUCCUAAUAGCAGCAUCCUGACUUUCCUAUAUGCUUUUUGAAUUGGUUUUGCACAUUCUUCCCACAAAUUCACAGUUUGACUGGUCAGGGAUAAACAAGUCAAUUCAUAGAUUCAGGGAAGUUUUAGAGAAUGGAAGGGAAGGACACAUUUUCACUGGAAAUUAUCAAGCCAUUACAUUUCCCAGAUGUUUACUGAAAACAAUGGCAUAAUUAUAGAUGCAAGAUCAGUUUUCAUUGGAUGUACUGUGUGUCCAACAGAGACCAUAAAUUCAACAGAAGUGGAAGGGACCAUCCCAGGACACAGUACAGCCAAAUCAACUGCACAGCCAUUUUCUCUACUAUCAGUGUGACUAGGUUGCAAUCCCAGAAAUGUUUUCAACUCCUGCAAUAUUUAUGGGGAUAUGGGAGCAGCUAUGUCCUUGUUUCUUUGAAAUCAAUAAGUAAAGAUCUGAGACGUUUAUACUACCUGAAGAAAUCAAGGUCUGUCACUAAAGUCAAUUCUUAGGGGUUUCCAUUCUCUCAUUUAGGGUAAAGUUCUAUGCUGUAGUAAAUGCACCUCAAGAUAUGUAAUGGUUAGAGCCCCAUAGAAGUUUAUUUUUCACGCAUUGAAAGUCCAAUCUGGUUAUUUUUGUUGAUGGGUGAGUAGAUCCACCAAGAACUAAUUCAAGAACCUAGGCUCUUUCCAUCCUGUGACUUCUCCAUCUUUAACAAGCAUCUUCUGAUUUGCAGCAACAAAGCGUGCAGGACUACCCAUGAGACGUUUUAUAGGUCAGGCUGGGAGGUGGUGAUAUGGCUUCUACUCACCUUUCUCAGUUAGGUCCUAGUCCCUCUGCAAGGGAGUCUGUAAAUAGAGCAUAACUGUGAGCUCGAGAAGAAAAGGAAAGAGGUUUGGUAAAUAGCUAUUCACUAGAUAACUGAAUAGCUAGCUAGCCUGUCUCUGCUGUUACAGCCUUUAAAAAAAAAUCAUGUACAAUGUCUUCCAGUUUAAUUAGGGGAUGAUUUUAAACUUUCAAAGAGACAAAGGAGAGGCAUAAAUAUCUGCAGACUUGUUUCUAUCUGGGUUAUGUUGUCGAAAACCACAAAGUGAAAGCUCUGUUCCUUAUCAGGUUUAGUCAUAAGUCAUUCUCUAUAGCAAGAAAGUUAUAAAUGCUGCAUAGAAGAACACACCCAUUUUGUUCUCUUAAGAUGAGAAAGAAAAGAAUAUGUAAAAUAUUGGAAAAAAUUAAAUUGAUACACCAAGUAUCUUUCAAGGCUGGGUUUUCUGUUACCACCUUUUCUUUAUUCUACAAUUAUGGAAAGCAUAUUCUUUAAGACAAAGACAAUCUCUCCAUUGACAAAUAUGUUAGAAAAGUUCAAAUCUUCAACAGGCCCAACACUGGUGGUGAUUCAGAGGGGCUAUGCAGCAUUUGUAUCAUUAUUGUAAUAGCAUAUUAUCAUAAGCAUGAAACAGAAAACAUACCUACUGUGUGCUGGGCACUGUGUCAAGUGCUUCACCUGCAAUAAUCCUAAAGAUCCUACAAACAACCCUAUGAGCUAGGUGUUUUUAUUAUACCCAAGCCACAGAUGAAACAAUAUAAGAUGCAGUGAAGUUAAGAAAAUUGGCUGAGUUCACAUGACUUGCUAAAGAAGCAGAAAUAGGCCUUAAAAUUGCCACCUGCCUGCUCGCAUCCCUGGCAGACCAGAUGCCUACUGACAUGGCUUUUGGUUUCUAUAGCACACAUCACUUCUAAGAUAUGUUAACAUUUUAUUGUCUUCUCUAAUAAAUUGUAAAUUGCACACUGACAGAGACCUGGUUUGUUCACUUUUGUAUCUCAAACGCAAACAGUGCCUAGCACAUACCAAUUCUGUAAAUAUGUAGGAAUGCAGAAAUGAAUGCAACCUAAUCCUAGGAGAUUCUCCUUUCAUAUCUUUUCUCUUUCUUUACAUUUUGCCUUGAUUUUCUGAGUUUUCCCAUGUCCUUCCAUUAUGUUGCUUUUCUAAGAAAGUCACAAUCACUUCUUAUUUAUUGCAACCAGAGACUCAGUGAUACAGAAAAAUGCAUUAGUUAAUUAUUGUUUAAAUUAUUGGGAGUUGCAAACAAAGUCGCUCUAUGUCCUCCUUAUUUACAGAUACUGUGUUUGCAAAUGUACUUGCUAAAAUGUACUUGUAAUUCCAAAAUCAAUGUUCCUGGUGCUUUUAUGCUCAUUUUUGAACAUACACGAAACAGAAAAAAAAAAUUAAGUUUUCACCUGAGAUGGAACAAGGUGACACUCUGCUUUCUUGUUUCAGCUCUCAUACCAUAAACAAGUGUCCUUUUUGUAGUCUAUUUAGUGCCAGACUGUUUGCAUUUUUGUGUUUCUUUCAUGGAUGAUUUUGCUGUUUAACAUGGACUGCAAGCAUAGUGCUGAAGUCUUGUCUACCACAAGAAGGCAAUGUGAGGUACCUGAUGGAGAAAAUGCAAAGACGUUUCAUUCAGGCAUGAGUGACAGACAGCAGGGCUGGCCAUGAGUUCAAUGUUAAUGAGCUGGUGCUAUAUAUUAAAUAAGGUGUCUUUAAACAGAAACACACAUAAGACAAGGUUGUGUAUUCAUUGAUGGAUAAGAAUGUUGUGACAAGAGGCUUGAAGAAAUUUAUCUCUAUUUCUCCUAGAAAAUGUUUAGUACCUGAUAAUUCCGUGUCCAAGGUGAUUCUAUAGAACAUAAUUACUGUGGGAUGGGGGGUGGGUUGGGGAAAAAUUGGUCAAUGAAUACAAAUUAUUUGUUAGAUAAAAGGAAAAAGUUCAGGAGAACUAUUGUAUAACAUAGUGACUGUAGUUCACAACAAUGUAUGGUAUUCUUGAAAAUUGCUAAGAAAGUAGAUUUUAAGUGUUUUCACCACAAAAAAUAAGUAUGGAGCAAUGCGUACAUUAAUUAGCUUGAUUUAUUUCUACAAAGUAUGGUAUGCAUAUUUCAAAAUACAAGGUUGUAUAUCAUCAAUAUAUACAGUUUUUAUUUG